CCGCAAGCCCACUAAGAUACCGCGGCGACCUCGUGGCGGCCGGUGGUGCAAUGGGCUGCGCACAGCACAUCCCCUGGUGGUGUACGUGCUCCGUGCCCCAUUUACGGAGCGCCCUAAGGACCGCGGGACAUGG
Chelonoidis abingdonii (Abingdon island giant tortoise) is the source of this 133-nucleotide small nucleolar RNA. RefSeq annotates it as small nucleolar RNA SNORA70. The record is from RefSeq and is a predicted model, not a curated record. NCBI's taxonomy places the organism in Eukaryota, Metazoa, Chordata, Testudines, Testudinidae.